UUUAACCCCGAGCAAAAACACAGUGAAACACGCUCUUAAUAAGAAGCUACAGCCUACAGGCUACAGUACAGAAAUUAGAAGUACACAUUACCCAAAACGUUUAAGAUGAAGUGCAAAGGCCCCGCUCAUUCCGAGUACUCAAUGCCGGAAUACAGCUGCUAACGACGUCGUUGAAAUCCCCCCUAGGCGUAUAGAGGACUUGAUAUAACUGUUCAAGUGGCGUUGGCCUUGUUUUACACUAUGGAAACAAUGAAUUAAAAAAAUUUAAGAGGAAGCUCUCAUCCGUCUUGUUUUGUGAAAAGGACUUUUGGACAGUGAUGGUGCAUGGAACUGCUUGAGUCUCAACUUCUGAACUUUUUCCAUGGUGUUAAAAUAUGCAUUGUGACUAAGCUUCUGCUUGCCAGUAACUGAACCUUAGAUUGCUUUCCAUGUGGAGGUACAUUAAUCAAUCCCUGUGCACUCUUCUUGACAAGGGACAGGUAAAUUACUUCCUCCGUCCCAUAAUACGAAGCUCAUUUCAACUGUAAUAUGUGUGUUAUCUACGUUACAGACUUGACAGGAUUUGUUACGUGAAAACUUUCUCUUAAUAUAAUUUGAGGAUUUCACAAUCAUGGCACAGACGCCGGGAGAAAUUGUAUUUUGUUGAACAGGGGACUAGUUAAAGUAGCCCCCCCAGGCCCCCUCCCCCAUUGCUUAAGUAGUUGUAUUACAGUUUGUUUCAUGGACAGUGGUGUGGUCUUUUCAUAGCACCAAACAAAUAGGAUCUGUUCUGGAAGGCGCAAACUCAACAAGGUAUUGAUUCUUGGUACAAGUGUAACCAGAUAUAUGGAUAUAUGCCUUCGGUGGGUGACUCAUCUACAUCUGCAUAAUGCACUUUCUUGCUACAAUAAUAGACUUGUUUCGGGCAUUAUUAGUUCCGGUAGCAAUUAGCUUGAAUUCUGGUUCUGAUUCUGAUUCCUAUUCUAGUAUAUAUAUGUAUAUAACUGGAAAUUGGCCAUGAGGUUGAUCGAGUUUUUCGACCUCUGAUAGGUGUAAAGUUAGCAGAAAAGAAAAUCAGGUUUAUUAGUAA
Long non-coding RNA from Daucus carota subsp. sativus, 1069 nucleotides. RefSeq lists it as uncharacterized. Lineage: Eukaryota; Viridiplantae; Streptophyta; Magnoliopsida; Apiales; Apiaceae. The transcript has 5 exons. The record is from RefSeq and is a predicted model, not a curated record.